Stegodyphus mimosarum is the source of this 73-nucleotide non-coding RNA. The record is from Rfam. NCBI's taxonomy places the organism in Eukaryota, Metazoa, Arthropoda, Arachnida, Araneae, Eresidae.
GCCUUCAUGGUGUAGUGGUCAGCACGCUGGAUUCGUAUUCUAGAGUUCCGUGGUUCGAGUCCCGGCGAAGGCA